GUAAUACUCCCUCCCUCCCUAAUUACUUGUCGCAGAAAUGGAUGUAUCUAGACGUAUAAUACAUCCAUUUCUGCGACAAGUAAUUCGGGACGGAGGGAGUAUGUA
Non-coding RNA from Triticum aestivum (bread wheat), 105 nucleotides. NCBI's taxonomy places the organism in Eukaryota, Viridiplantae, Streptophyta, Magnoliopsida, Poales, Poaceae. The record is from Rfam.